Molecule: long non-coding RNA, 461 nt
Filed under: Cricetulus griseus (Chinese hamster)
Lineage: Eukaryota; Metazoa; Chordata; Mammalia; Rodentia; Cricetidae
Description: lncRNA (ENSCGRG00015043448.1)
Source: RNAcentral
CAUAACCUAUCCUAUAUAACUGGGUUCUGCUCUAGGUGGCAACACAUAGGGCACAGUGGACAAAGGGACACACAAAUGCCAAGCUGUCCUGUCUCCUUCCAGUGUAGUCAAGGUUCUCCAGAGAAGAAAAACCCACAGGCCCGUAUUGUCUUGAUUUCUCCAUAUUUUUUUGCUCCUCCUGCUUUGUGCCUGUGGUUCAAGGUGUGAGUUCACAGCCUCCUGUCACCAUGCCUGUUGCCUCCAUGCCUGCUGCCUGCUACCUGCCACCUGGCGCCUGCUGCCUGUGCCAUGCUUCCUUGCAAUUAUGGACUCCAAACCUCUGUAACCACAAACCAAAAUAAACUUUUCUGAGUUGUCUUAGUCACGGUAUUGUAGCACAGCAACAGAAAAGUAAUUAAUACACCCUCUCAAUAGAGCCAUGCUCAGAAACAAACAAAAAGUCUUUAUCACAUGGGCCUAGG